GGAGGCUUAUUUCUCUCGUAGUAUCCAUGAGCGUCACAAACGGCUACGCCGCAAAUGUCUCGAUGUUAUGUCCCUACAGUUAUGUCAGGCAGCUCCGUGAAAGGAACAUCUCUGCAUUUUUGAAUUUUUGAAGGAUAACCAAAGCCACACUUUUCAUCUGGACUUUGGACACGAUACAACUUUUGCUGCAGUGAUUAGAGGUGCCGCCAUCUUGGUGUGGGUGUUACAUUCUACUCCUUUAAAUUUACCCCAUCUACAAAUAUGUAUGCAUCUUCUGCUGAUCAAAUGCAUCUCGUCCGUGAGAGGUAUCCACACGCCCGGAGAACAAGCUCCACAAUGACAUCAAUGGCGACAAACUUUAAGGGACCUGUGUGUGACUACCAGUUAGCUUGUGAGCGAUUCAAGAAUUCCUUGGGGAUCAGCG
Molecule: long non-coding RNA, 424 nt
Organism: Branchiostoma floridae (Florida lancelet)
Lineage: Eukaryota; Metazoa; Chordata; Leptocardii; Amphioxiformes; Branchiostomatidae
Exons: 4
Source: RefSeq, a predicted model, not a curated record